GUAUUUAUUUAAUUGGAUUUGUGCAUAUUUUAUUUAAAGGAGCUACACUAUUAUAAUUAAUUAGACUUAUUAAGUUUAAUUAAUUAUUUUCAAAGAGUAAAUUUUUAUAAUAAUAUUAAAUUAUUAUUAUAAGCAUAUUUUAAGUAAUUACUUAUUAUAUGCUAAGCAUGACAUGAAAUUGCAUUAUAUUUUGCAAAAAGAGUAUUUAUGAUUUAAUUGGUUUUAUUUAUAAUUCCAAUUAUUAAAGAAAGAUGAGUAAGAAUAUUGUUGGUGUUCUUAACUCAAGAGAAAUGUUUUCAAUUAUUUAUUCAUUAAAUUUUGAAAACCCGGCUAAGUGAAUCAUAGAAUAUUAAGCACUUCACCAUGACUUAAGAUUAGAAUUCAAGGAGACCUAUUAAGAAUAGAUUUCUUGUAGGCUUUGAGCAUCAGGAGGAUUAGCACUGCUAUUCCGAUUCAGAGAUAAGGUUAAACGACAGGCUUUGCCUAGACAGGUUGAUUGGUCGGUGCUGACGGGGCAGAGCUGAGGCUAGGGUUCAACUCCGUAUUUUGUCUUCCGCUGUUGCACUAGCUCUUAUUUGUCUUUUAUUUCUCCAACUUAAGACUUUUAUGUUAAAUUCUGAAUUAUGUUUCUUAUCGAGCUUAAACUCUCAACUUCUAGCUCUAUGUUAUUAACGUUGGUUAUCGGAAGCAUGAAACUGAACUUGUGAUCCUAAGGCUUAGAAUGUUGUUGAUUGAUUAAUAUCACUUGAUUUUUGUCUUUCUU
Salvia miltiorrhiza (redroot sage) is the source of this 763-nucleotide long non-coding RNA. RefSeq lists it as uncharacterized. The transcript has 2 exons. The record is from RefSeq and is a predicted model, not a curated record. NCBI's taxonomy places the organism in Eukaryota, Viridiplantae, Streptophyta, Magnoliopsida, Lamiales, Lamiaceae.